AGAGUUUGAUUCUGGCUCAGGAUGAACGCUGGCGGCGUGCUUAACACAUGCAAGUCGAGCGAAGCAGUUAAGUUGAUUUCUUCGGAUUGAUUCUUAAUUGACUGAGCGGCGGACGGGUGAGUAACGCGUGAGUAACCUGCCCAUAAGAGGGGGAUAAUCCAUGGAGACGUGGACUAAUACCGCAUAUUGUAAUUAAGUUGCAUGACUUGAUUAUGAAAGAUUUAUCGCUUAUGGAUGGACUCGCGUCAGAUUAGAUAGUUGGUGAGGUAACGGCUCACCAAGUCAACGAUCUGUAGCCGAACUGAGAGGUUGAUCGGCCGCAUUGGGACUGAGACACGGCCCAG
This 344-nucleotide ribosomal RNA is filed under the name uncultured bacterium. RNAcentral's name for it is "bacterial SSU rRNA". It matches the Rfam family "Bacterial small subunit ribosomal RNA", at positions 8 to 334 of the family's 1533-position model. The record is from RNAcentral.